GAUGAAGAACGCAGCAAAAUGCGAUACUUGGUGUGAAUUGCAGAAUCCCGUGAACCAUCGAGGUUUUGAACGCAAGUUGCGCCCGAAGCCUUUUGGCCGAGGGCACGUCUGCCUGGGCGUCACGCAUCGCGUCGCCCCCCACAAUUCUCCGUAAAGGGAACGUGUGUUUUGGGGGCGGAUAUUGGUCUCCCGUGCUCAUGGCGUGGUUGGCCGAAAUAGGAGUCCUUUCGAUGGACGCACGAACUAGUGGUGGUCGUAAAAACCCUCGUCUUUUGUUUCGUGCUGUUGCUCGCAAGGUAAACUCUUUAAAAACCCCAAUGUGUCGUCUCUUGACGACGCUUCGACCGCGACCCCAGGUCAGGCGGGACUACCCGCUGAGUUUAAGCAUAUCAUAAGCGGAGGA
This 403-nucleotide unclassified non-coding RNA is filed under the name soil metagenome. RNAcentral's name for it is "partial contains 5.8S ribosomal RNA, internal transcribed spacer 2, and large subunit ribosomal RNA". The stretch from base 1 to 122 matches the Rfam family "5.8S ribosomal RNA", at positions 35 to 154 of the family's 154-position model. The record is from RNAcentral.